RNAcentral lists this ribosomal RNA (433 nucleotides) under uncultured organism. RNAcentral's name for it is "bacterial SSU rRNA". It matches the Rfam family "Bacterial small subunit ribosomal RNA", at positions 29 to 507 of the family's 1533-position model. The record is from RNAcentral.
AACGAACGCUGGCGGCAGGCCUAACACAUGCAAGUCGAACGCCCUAGCAAUAGGGAGUGGCAGACGGGUGAGUAACGCGUGGGAACCUUCCCAAUGGUGCGGAAUAACUCAGGGAAACCUGAGCUAAUACCGCAUAAGCCCGAAAGGGGAAAGAUUUAUCGCCAUUGGAUGGGCCCGCGUCGGAUUAGCUAGUUGGUAGGGUAAUGGCCUACCAAGGCGACGAUCCGUAGCUGGUCUGAGAGGAUGAUCAGCCACACUGGGACUGAGACACGGCCCAGACUCCUACGGGAGGCAGCAGUGGGGAAUAUUGGACAAUGGGCGCAAGCCUGAUCCAGCCAUGCCGCGUGAGUGACGAAGGCCUUAGGGUUGUAAAGCUCUUUUGCCGGGGACGAUAAUGACGGUACCCGGAGAAUAAGUCCCGGCUAACUUCGUG